RNAcentral lists this ribosomal RNA (1003 nucleotides) under Paramesotriton sp. HW-2009. Its description in RNAcentral is "partial 16S ribosomal RNA". The stretch from base 154 to 1003 matches the Rfam family "Bacterial large subunit ribosomal RNA", at positions 568 to 2038 of the family's 2925-position model. The record is from RNAcentral. Lineage: Eukaryota; Metazoa; Chordata; Amphibia; Caudata; Salamandridae.
UUAAAAUUAUAGCCAAACAAACCUAAACUACCAAAAAACAAAACAAACCAUUUAAUUUAAUAGUAUGGGCGAUAGAAAUUUAUUAUGAGCAAUAAAAAAAGUACCGUAAGGGAAAGAUGAAAUAAAAAUGAAAUAAAUAAUAAAAACAAAAAAAAGAAAAGGCUAAACCCUGUACCUUUUGCAUAAUGGUCUAGCAAGUCCAACCUAACAAAAAGAAAUAAAGUUAGCCACCCCGAAACUAGACGAGCUACUUAAGAGCAGCAUUAACCAGAGCCAACCCGUCUCUGUGGCAAAAGAGUGGGAUGACUUUUGAGUAGAGGUGAAAAGCCUAACGAGCCUAGUGAUAGCUGGUUACUUGAGAAAUGAAUAUUAGUUCAGCUUAAAGCAUCUUUAUUAUUAAAAAAUAAAAAUAGCACUUUAAAGUUAAUUAAUAGGGGUACAGCCCUAUUAAUAAAGGAUACAACCUACAUAAUGAAUAAAGAUUAUAUUAACAAAAGAAAUUAACCGCGUAGGCCUAAAAGCAGCCACCACAAGAAAGCGUCAAAGCUCAACUUAACAACCCCCCUUAUUAUACUAAUAAAAAAAUCUAAAUUCACAAAACAUAUCAAGCCCAUCUACUAGUAGAUAAGUUUAUACUAGAAUGAGUAACAAGAACAAAUUCUCUACAUGCAAGCGUAAAUCAGAACGAAAGCAUCACUGAUAAUUAACAACUUUAAACACCCAACAACAAGAAAAACACAUUAAAACAAUUGUUAACCCAACACAGGAGCAUAAAAAAAGAUUUAAAGAUUAAAAAGGAACUCGGCAACCAUAGAGCUCCGCCUGUUUACCAAAAACACCGCCUCUUGCCCUCCCAAUAUAAGAGGUCCCGCCUGCCCAGUGAUUAAUUUUAACGGCCGCGGUAUCAUGACCGUGCAAAGGUAGCGUAAUCACUUGUCUUUUAAAUAAAGACCUGUAUGAAAGGCAAAACGAAAGCUCAACUGUCUCUUUAAUCUAAUCAGUG